AGGAGGAGCAAAUCUGAAAAAAGCGUCCCUAGUUCGGAUUGUAGGCUGAAACUCGCCUACAUGAAGCUGGAAUUGCUAGUAAUCACAGGUCAGCAUACUGUGGUGAAUACGUUCCCGGGCCUUGUACACACCGCCCGUCACACCAUGAGAGUUGGGGAUACCCGAAGCCUGUGAGCUAACUAUUUAUAGGAGCAGCAGUCGAAGGUAGAAUCAAUGAUUGGGGUGAAGUCGUAACAAGGUAGC
This 243-nucleotide ribosomal RNA is filed under the name uncultured bacterium. Its description in RNAcentral is "partial 16S ribosomal RNA". It matches the Rfam family "Bacterial small subunit ribosomal RNA", at positions 1260 to 1500 of the family's 1533-position model. The record is from RNAcentral.